AUUAAUAAUUCUUUAAUGUUUAGAAUUGCAUUUUCUAACAAACAAUCAGCAACCAUUUUGUUGUCAUAUGACAAAAAGAAGAAAAAAAAAACGAAAAAAAAACAGAGGAACCAUUUAAAGUAGACCUUCAUGACUUGACUGUGUCUGUUAUUUUAUUUAUUUAAAUCUCCCUUUUAUGAAAAUGCACGCUUUAUUCACUUUGUUCAAAGGAAGGGCCUAAUUCUACGUCAUAACAUAAAUUUGUCAUUUUCAUGACAUUUAAUAAAAAUCGUAUUAAUAUUAGGCUUGUUUUAAUAAUAGUUGUGUGAAUUCGCGUAAAGUAUUUUAUGGUCUUUUGAAAAACACUGCAUGAUAAUUUUGCACGCGUGUUUUAAAUUAGACCAUUAAAAGAUUUCUCCUUUUUAUCAUCUGGGGUAUUUAUCAUUGCCCCGUAUAUACCGGGGCUCUACAGUAGAAGGUAAGCUUGAGACUCACCGGUCUGAACUGGGUGUAUGAGGAGGAAUGUUGCGCUAUACCGCAACGCGCAUGCGCAGCGCAUUCAUAGGCCACUAUAGCAUGCUGAGGCCUACAGCUCCUCUGUUCUCAUGAUCCUGGUUCAGCUCUUAGCUAGUGGGCUUUGAAGCUUCACACGAGGAGAGGGGACAAGUGAGAACAUGCAUGUGAGUUCAAUGUGAAAUUCCCAAGGGAGAGGAAAAAAAACAUCCUGUUGAAGCAUGUCGUUAACUCCAAGGCAGAAGCUGGUAUGCUUGGAAUUGCAGAGCACCAAGACUGCUU
Carassius carassius (crucian carp) is the source of this 774-nucleotide long non-coding RNA. RefSeq lists it as uncharacterized. NCBI's taxonomy places the organism in Eukaryota, Metazoa, Chordata, Actinopteri, Cypriniformes, Cyprinidae. The record is from RefSeq and is a predicted model, not a curated record. The transcript has 2 exons.